AUGACGUCAAGUCAGCACCGGCCCUUAUGCCUUGGGCUACACACACGCUACAAUGGGUGGUACAAUGGGUAGCAAGAGAGCAAUCUGGAGCUAAUCCUAAAAAACCAUCCUCAGUUCAGAUUGCAGGCUGAAACCCGCCUGCAUGAAGCUGGAGUUGCUAGUAACUGCAGGUCAGCAUACUGCCGGUUGAACCUACGUUCUCGGCCUU
RNAcentral lists this ribosomal RNA (208 nucleotides) under uncultured Chloroflexota bacterium. RNAcentral describes it as "uncultured Chloroflexi bacterium partial 16S ribosomal RNA". It matches the Rfam family "Bacterial small subunit ribosomal RNA", at positions 1179 to 1381 of the family's 1533-position model. Lineage: Bacteria; Bacillati; Chloroflexota. The record is from RNAcentral.